Molecule: ribosomal RNA, 523 nt
Filed under: uncultured bacterium
Lineage: Bacteria
Description: partial 16S ribosomal RNA
Rfam family: Bacterial small subunit ribosomal RNA
Source: RNAcentral
GACGAACGCUGGCGGCGUGCCUAAUACAUGCAAGUCGAACGCUUUUUCUUUCACCGGAGCUUGCUCCACCGAAAGAAAAAGAGUGGCGAACGGGUGAGUAACACGUGGGUAACCUGCCCAUCAGAAGGGGAUAACACUUGGGAACAGGUGCUAAUACCGUAUAACACUAUUUUCCGCAUGGAAGAAAGUUGAAAGGCGCUUUUGCGUCACUGAUGGAUGGACCCGCGGUGCAUUAGCUAGUUGGUGAGGUAACGGCUCACCAAGGCAACGAUGCAUAGCCGACCUGGGAGGGUGAGCGGCCACACGGGGACUGAGACACGGCCCAGACUCCUACGGGAGGCAGCAGUAGGGAAUCUUCGGCAAUGGACGAAAGUCUGACCGAGCAACGCCGCGUGAGUGAAGAAGGUUUUCGGAUCGUAAAACUCUGUUGUUAGAGAAGAACAAGGAUGGGAGUAGAACGUUCAUCCCUUGACGGUAUCUAACCAGAAAGCCACGGCUAACUACGUGCCAGCCGCCGCCGUAA